GAGUUUAAUCAUGGCUCAGAUUGAACGCUGGCGGCAUGCCUUACACAUGCAAGUCGAACGGCAGCACGGGAGCUUGCUCCUGGUGGCGAGUGGCGAACGGGUGAGUAAUGCAUCGGAACGUAUCCUGGAGUGGGGGGAUAACGUAGCGAAAGUUACGCUAAUACCGCAUAUUCUGUGAGCAGGAAAGCGGGGGACCUUCGGGCCUCGCGCUCUUGGAGCGGCCGAUGUCGAAUUAGCUAGUUGGUGAGGUAAAGGCUCACCAAGGCGACGAUCCGUAGCAGGUCUGAGAGGAUGAUCUGCCACACUGGAACUGAGACACGGUCCAGACUCCUACGGGAGGCAGCAGUGGGGAAUUUUGGACAAUGGGGGCAACCCUGAUCCAGCCAUGCCGCGUGAGUGAAGAAGGCC
RNAcentral lists this ribosomal RNA (408 nucleotides) under bacterium enrichment culture clone ALO1_GLFRUDD03HDDJV. RNAcentral describes it as "bacterial SSU rRNA". It matches the Rfam family "Bacterial small subunit ribosomal RNA", at positions 9 to 416 of the family's 1533-position model. The record is from RNAcentral.